UUUAUGUGUAACUUUACAUGUCUAUAGCGGAAGUUGUAAUAAUUAGCACAAAUUACGUAUUAUUAAUUUUAUGUAUAUAUACCAGAAUGUUUCUCUGUACUAUCACUGAGUUCCCGACCAGCAAACAUAAUGAAAGCCACACUUGCCAUUGUCGCCGUCUUGGGUCUGUUUGCCCUGAACUGUGUGAGAGCUGAUGGUUACGGUAAUGGAGGUGGAUACAUGAAGGGUGGAUGGUCCGGGUAUGGAGGUCAAGGAUAUGGAAAUGGAGGUUACCACGGAUAUGGCAAAUCAGGUGGCUCCCACGGAUAUGGAGGAUAUUCCGGAUAUGGAAAGAAGGGAGGCUACGUUGACGAAAUCACACACUACAGUCAAUACCCAGUAUAUGGAGGCGCUGUUGCUGGUCCAUAUGCCGGUGGUUAUGCUGGGUCAUAUGCCGGUGGUAUUGGUGGAGACAUGGACGGUGGUCUGUUCGGACAAAAUGGAGCUCUCCUCAUGUUUUUCUUCUUGCUUCUCCUUUUGGGCAACAACAACAACGGCAAUGGUCUGUUUGGUCGUUAAAUCUGACUUAAUUGUAGUGUAAGAUGUCGAUAUGAAUAAAGCUAGAAGAUUUACGAAAACAGUGAUUAUUUGAGAAGCAUCUGAAGAACAUGUGAACUCUAGUGUAUUGAAAUGGAAAAAAUGUAUACUGUUACAAUUUUGAUAAAAAGUGUAAAAUUUAUUGUAUUGUAAUUGCAAUAAUGUGAUACAUGAAAAAUAAAAUUUAGAAAUUAAA
This is a long non-coding RNA of Mytilus californianus (California mussel), 772 nucleotides long. RefSeq lists it as uncharacterized. The record is from RefSeq and is a predicted model, not a curated record. The transcript has 4 exons. Lineage: Eukaryota; Metazoa; Mollusca; Bivalvia; Mytilida; Mytilidae.